CUAGCGACUUCAGAGUUUGAUCCUGGCUCAGGAUGAACGCUGGCGGCGUGCCUAACACAUGCAAGUCGAACGAAGCACCGGAGUUCCUCGGAACAAAGGUGACUGAGUGGCGGACGGGUGAGUAACGCGUGGGUAACUUGCCUCACACAGGGGGAUAACAGCUGGAAACGGCUGCUAAUACCGCAUAAGCGCACAGUACCGCAUGGUACGGUGUGAAAAGUUUUUCGGUGUGAGAUGGACCCGCGUCUGAUUAGCUAGUUGGCGGGGUAACGGCCCACCAAGGCGACGAUCAGUAGCCGGCCUGAGAGGGUGGACGGCCACAUUGGGACUGAGACACGGCCCAA
RNAcentral lists this ribosomal RNA (344 nucleotides) under uncultured bacterium. RNAcentral describes it as "bacterial SSU rRNA". It matches the Rfam family "Bacterial small subunit ribosomal RNA", at positions 1 to 334 of the family's 1533-position model. The record is from RNAcentral.